CACAAGCGGUGGAUGAUGUGGUUUAAUUCGAUGCAACGCGAAAACCUUACCCACCUUUGACAUGGCAGGAAUCCUGAAGAGAUUUGGGAGUGCUCGAAAGAGAACCUGCACACAGGUGCUGCAUGGCUGUCGUCAGCUCGUGUCGUGAGAUGUUGGGUUAAGUCCCGCAACGAGCGCAACCCUUGCCAUUAGUUGCUACGAAAGGGCACUCUAAUGGGACUGCCGGUGACAAACCGGAGGAAGGUGGGGAUGACGUCAAGUCCUCAUGGCCCUUAUAGGUGGGGCUACACACGUGCUACAAUGGUCGGUACAAAGGGUUGCCAAGCCGCGAGGUGGAGCUAAUCCCAUAAAACCGAUCGUAGUCCGGAUCGCAGUCUGCAACUCGACUGCGUGAAGUCGGAAUCGCUAGUAAUCGCGGAUCAGCAUGUCGCGGUGAAUACGUUCCCGGGUCUU
Molecule: ribosomal RNA, 453 nt
Filed under: uncultured Allobrachymonas sp.
Lineage: Bacteria; Pseudomonadati; Pseudomonadota; Betaproteobacteria; Burkholderiales; Comamonadaceae
Description: bacterial SSU rRNA
Rfam family: Bacterial small subunit ribosomal RNA
Source: RNAcentral